This 253-nucleotide ribosomal RNA is filed under the name uncultured bacterium. RNAcentral describes it as "partial 16S ribosomal RNA". It matches the Rfam family "Bacterial small subunit ribosomal RNA", at positions 524 to 776 of the family's 1533-position model. The record is from RNAcentral.
UACGUAGGGUCCGAGCGUUGUCCGGAAUUACUGGGCGUAAAGAGCUCGUAGGUGGUUUGUCGCGUUGUUCGUGAAAACUCACAGCUCAACUGUGGGCGUGCGGGCGAUACGGGCAGACUAGAGUACUGCAGGGGAGACUGGAAUUCCUGGUGUAGCGGUGGAAUGCGCAGAUAUCAGGAGGAACACCGGCGGCGAAGGCGGGUCUCUGGGACGGUACUGACGCUGAGACGCGAAAGCGUGGGGAGCGAACAGG